RNAcentral lists this long non-coding RNA (765 nucleotides) under Gallus gallus (chicken). RNAcentral describes it as "long non-coding RNA NONGGAT005225". Lineage: Eukaryota; Metazoa; Chordata; Aves; Galliformes; Phasianidae. The record is from RNAcentral.
UUCAGCUCUUGUGUUUAUGAAUCUGCUGUUUCCACCACUGUACUUGGCACUGCUGCCUCCUAUUGUGAAUGCUGCUGCAAAUGCUAGGCACUCUCAGCACUAUGUGUUUUCCUUUACAGCAAGAUCUGCACAACACUUUUGCAGUCAGGUCUUCCCUGUGGAUCCUGCAGAGCUGCCUUAUGCUGGGGCUCAGACAAGUGACAAUAAAGAUGCCACCCAGGAGGUUUAUCAUGUGAUGUGAAAGCAGCAGGAUAAGAAAGGAAGGUCACCUUACUGCUAGAACAGAUUGUCCUGGGAGGAAUGGAGAGAGACAAAUGUGCAUAGUCAUCUUUUGAAGUGGAGAAUGGAUUAGAACAGGUCUGCAAGCCUGAUCUAACCAGCAAGGUGUUUCAUCCAGCAUGAUGCCUCAUCCUGGAGAGUACAAGCAGCAUCUUGGGAGAGUAUGUAUUACUUCUCACCUUUGGCAGACUGAACUCUGGCGGAGGUAAUUCCACACCAAGUCUGAUCUUUUGUUUUCCGUAGGAAGUAAGGAGGCAAGGCAGAUGGAGAGACUGAAUCAUGGUGAGACAACUUACAGGAAGAGCUGUCCUUUGUGGAAAUCAGUUGUACAGUACCCAAUGUUCACCAGGAGAUCACACUCCUUUGCUGGAGCCAGGGGCUGCCGGUUCAGCUGGAAACCACAGUGCUUCUGGAUGACGUUUUCCUCUCCUCCCACUGAAUCAGCCUUUUAUUUACCCAUUGGAAUGCAAAGUAACAGGACACCCU